AGAAGAGACAGCUAUCGAGGUUAAAGGUACCCGUACCGCACACCGACACAGGUGGGUGAGGAGAAUAUCCUAAGGCCAGCGAGAGAACUGUUGUUAAGGAACUCGGCAAAAUGACCCCGUAACUUAGGGAUAAGGGGUGCCACCAUCCGGUGGCCGCAGAGAAUAGGCCCAAGCGACUGUUUACCAAAAACAUAGGUUUCUGCUAAGUCGCAAGACGAUGUCUAGGAGCUGACGCCUGCCCGGUGCUGGAAGGUUAAGUGGAUCUGUUAGAGCAAUCGAAGCAGUGCACUUAAGCCCCAGUAAACGGCGGCCGUACCUAUAACGGUCCUAAGGUAGCGAAAUUCCUUGUCGUGUCAGCUCCGACCCGCACGCAACGCGUAACUAUUUGGGCACUGUCUCAACCACAGCCUCGGUGAAA
This 418-nucleotide ribosomal RNA is filed under the name Clostridioides difficile. Its description in RNAcentral is "bacterial LSU rRNA". It matches the Rfam family "Bacterial large subunit ribosomal RNA", at positions 1611 to 2041 of the family's 2925-position model. The record is from RNAcentral. Lineage: Bacteria; Bacillati; Bacillota; Clostridia; Peptostreptococcales; Peptostreptococcaceae.